GAAACCUCCAGAUGCCUGUGGCCCACUGGAGAGAUUACAGGGUUCCACACUUUGGGGAUGCUGGUCUAAGUGAGAAGAGGAGCCCUUGGGAAGCAAGUGAGAGCCCACAGGGACCCAAGGAUUCAUCCGGACUUUGUUAGCUCUUGCAUGAUUUUCUCAUCAAAAUGCCUACUGGGCUUUCCUGGAGGACUUCCCCGGAUUCCUCAGCCUGGAAUCUGCCUGCCGGUGCCGGUGGAGUGGCCUUGUUUACCAACACAUGGCAGGGGCAUAAGAUAUGGACAAGAUGCAGAAGAGAAAUCGAGGCAGUUACUCGGAGACAGACUGCUUCCUACGUCUGCCCACAUGGUCCAGCCGGAAGUGGAUUAGGGCUGCACUGAAAAUGAGGAAGAGAGGAUCUGCUGUAGCACCGAUGACGUCGCUAGGCUUUGUUCCCGGACAUGAGUGAGGGUCGUGCUAUAUACUUCACUUUGUUUUGCCUGAUGUUGCUCCCCAGAGUCCUCAUGAAGUAUUUCGUCUGGGUCAGUCGAGUGCACAGUCUUUUGAUGCUUUUUAUCCUGUUUGAUGCUUUUCUUAAACUGCCCUCAAUUGUUCAUAAAUAACCAUCAGCAGUCACAUCACCAACGGAAAGUCUCACAGCCGAAUAACUGAGGACUCCAUCAGUGCGGGUUAAAGAGCAACAGUAACUGUUUCGGCCAGGUCUCCUGCUGGUAAGAUUAAAAAUGUAUGCCCUGACCAGACACAAAAGGACAAACGCUGUAUGACUGCAGGGCUGAGGUGCCCAGAGUGGACAAGUCCAGAGACAGGAAGCAGAAUGGUGGUUACCAGGCACUGGCAGCGGGGAGGAACGAACAGCUAGUGUUUAAUCGGUACAGAGUUUCCGUUUGGGAAGGUGAGAAAGUUCUAGAGAUGGAUGGUGACGACUGUGCAGCAAUGUGAAGGUACUUAGGGCCACUGAACUGCACCCUUGAAAGUGGUUUAAAUGGUAAAUUUGGUUAUGUGCAUUUUACCACAAAACACAUCUCCUGAGGAAAGGCAAGGCCCUGUGCCACCUUAUGUGGCUGCUCAGAGAACAGAAGGGCCGUGCAAGAUUUCCCCUUCCUGAGAUGUCAAACUUGGUCUGAGAAGACUCUGGUUCCAGAGUAUUAGGGUCAAAAGGACUAGGGGCUCUCCAGGUCGCCUGGUUGUGCUGGGUAACGGAGUGGGGACUGAGCUGGGGAUCCAGCCACCAAGGAAGCUACUAAGUGGAAAUGCAGCUGGACAUCCUCAAGACAUUUAGUAUUUCACAAUACUGAAAGGAAUCAGACAGUGCUUAGAGUUAAAACUGGGAGGUAAGCAGUCCGGGAGGUCCUGUCACCUCAAGGGUGGC
Molecule: long non-coding RNA, 1366 nt
Filed under: Ursus maritimus (polar bear)
Lineage: Eukaryota; Metazoa; Chordata; Mammalia; Carnivora; Ursidae
Description: lncRNA (ENSUMAG00000004928.1)
Source: RNAcentral